Molecule: non-coding RNA, 1056 nt
Organism: Podarcis lilfordi (Lilford's wall lizard)
Lineage: Eukaryota; Metazoa; Chordata; Lepidosauria; Squamata; Lacertidae
Source: the annotation of a GenBank genome assembly
GGGGCAAGAGGACCACAAUCUUCAUUAAAUAUGCUACAUUUUGUCAAUUUCAGUGUGCAGCCUAGCCUACGAAAGGACUGGCCCAUCAGCCCACAAAUGAAGACAUCGCCUUUGUUUUUCUGUCAGAGGUAUUCCGACUGUCAAUUACGCAAAUGCCAUUUCUCGUUUUCAUAAUUCAGUACAAGAGCAUGCACUUAUAAAAUGUCUCUCUCAUAGCUGGCCUAGCAAGAGAGAUCACCUUGUUUUCCUUGAUAUGUCUUUCAUUCUUUAAGGCACAGUGCCCUGCUACCCUUAUUUAGAUCUUAAUGCGUCCCAUAUGCCCCUGUUUCAGAGCUGAAAUUCCUCCGUUUACUUCCCCGGAAAGCCAUUCUUCAUUAUAAUAUGUUUCCCCAAGUAAAUUUAUUCAUCAUAUUUUUCUCUCCCUGUGACAGCCACGUCCUUCCACUACGGGAAAUUAAACACUGUACCAUAUGGCCAGAGCAACAAACUUUUAGUACUUGCUUGCUCAAUUGUUUUAACACAUUGCCGACUUCAUACAACAUUCUGCUUGCCCGAAUAGUAUCAGGCUUGUGCCUGACAUAUGCAUUAGACAUGUUAAUGGCAAGGAGGAAAUUAAGUGAAGUUGACAAUGUGAGGAAAGAACAGUAUAAUCCCAUUAAGGACUAAAUUUUUGCCAUUUUUACUUUUGUGCGAGUGGGGAAGGGGGGAAAGAAAAAAAAGCUUAAACCAAUCCCUCAGAACAGGUUAUAUCAUUCCCUGCUGUGCAAACAGAUGCUGCCAACUUGCAAAGCUGUAACAGUGCGAGAGCCCCAAAGUGAUGGGCCCAACAUCUUCAGAUUGCCUCCUUCAUAUCGUAAUUCUGUGUUUGUGUGGCUCACUUCAACAUCGGUCCAGUAUACCUGAAGGAGCAUCUCCACCCCCAUCGUUCUACCCGGACACUGAGGUCCAGCGCCGAGGGCCUUCUGGCGGUUCCCUCACUGCGAGAAGCCAAGUUACAGGGAACCAGGCAGAGGGCCUUCUCGGUAGUGGCACCCUCCCUGUGGAACACCCUCCCAC